Acanthopagrus latus (yellowfin seabream) is the source of this 352-nucleotide long non-coding RNA. RefSeq lists it as uncharacterized. The transcript is spliced from 3 exons. NCBI's taxonomy places the organism in Eukaryota, Metazoa, Chordata, Actinopteri, Spariformes, Sparidae. The record is from RefSeq and is a predicted model, not a curated record.
AAUAACUCGAGGUUUUCUCUGAAUACUGUCUUUCUACGACGUCUGACUGGACGACACGUCUUCUCCAAGCGUGCUUCCCGAUAUAGACACGUAUGGCUGCGCUGCAGAUCUCAUAAUCUGAACGCUCAUCGGGAAAAGAGGGAAGCGCCCGACUUUGGAAGAGAAGGAUGGAGGGAGAAGAGAAGAUGAAGAAGUAUAAAGAGAGAAACCAAAAUAAUAACGGGGAAUAAAUCCGAAGCUGCAGUCUGUGGAGACGACCGCAUGUGAUGUGACGCGACUGACCUGAGGUCCCUGUUGUGGACUCAGCAGGGGAAAAUCCCAACUCUGGAGGGUCCAUUCCAUUUACUGCUAU